GAUGAACGCUGGCGGCGUGCUUAACACAUGCAAGUCAAACGGGAAUUACUUUAUUGAAACUCCGGUCGAUUUAAUUUAAUUCUAGUGGCGGACGGGUGAGUAACGCGUGGGUAACCUGCCUUAUACAGGGGGAUAACAGUCAGAAAUGGCUGCUAAUACCGCAUAAGCGCACAGAGCUGCAUGGCUCAGUGUGAAAAACUCCGGUGGUAUAAGAUGGACCCGCGUUGGAUUAGCUUGUUGGUGGGGUAACGGCCCACCAAGGCGACGAUCCAUAGCCGGCCUGAGAGGGUGAACGGCCACAUUGGGACUGAGACACGGCCCAGACUCCUACGGGAGGCAGCAGUGGGGAAUAUUGCACAAUGGGGGAAACCCUGAUGCAGCGACGCCGCGUGAAGGAAGAAGUAUCUCGGUAUGUAAACUUCUAUCAGCAGGGAAGAUAGUGACGGUACCUGACUAAGAAGCCCCGGCUAACUACGUGCCAGCCGCCGCUGUAA
Molecule: ribosomal RNA, 494 nt
Filed under: uncultured bacterium
Lineage: Bacteria
Description: partial 16S ribosomal RNA
Rfam family: Bacterial small subunit ribosomal RNA
Source: RNAcentral